CCCUGCCAUUUGUACACACCGCCCGUCGCUACUACCGAUUGAACGACCGCAGUGAGGUCUUCGGACUGGACGCGCGUGGCGCUGCCCCUCGGGGUGCGCGUCGUCGCGCGACCGGGAAGAUGACCGAA
RNAcentral lists this ribosomal RNA (128 nucleotides) under uncultured eukaryote. Its description in RNAcentral is "partial small subunit ribosomal RNA". It matches the Rfam family "Eukaryotic small subunit ribosomal RNA", at positions 1651 to 1763 of the family's 1831-position model. The record is from RNAcentral.